RNAcentral lists this ribosomal RNA (556 nucleotides) under Meyerozyma caribbica. RNAcentral describes it as "partial large subunit ribosomal RNA". It matches the Rfam family "Eukaryotic large subunit ribosomal RNA", at positions 83 to 656 of the family's 3401-position model. Lineage: Eukaryota; Fungi; Ascomycota; Pichiomycetes; Serinales; Debaryomycetaceae. The record is from RNAcentral.
GUAGCGGCGAGUGAGCGGCAAAAGCUCAAAUUUGAAAUCUGGCACCUUCGGUGUCCGAGUUGUAAUUUGAAGAUUGUAACCUUGGGGUUGGCUCUUGUCUAUGUUUCUUGGAACAGGACGUCACAGAGGGUGAGAAUCCCGUGCGAUGAGAUGCCCAAUCCUAUGUAAGGUGCUUUCGAAGAGUCGAGUUGUUUGGGAAUGCAGCUCUAAGUGGGUGGUAAAUUCCAUCUAAAGCUAAAUAUUGGCGAGAGACCGAUAGCGAACAAGUACAGUGAUGGAAAGAUGAAAAGAACUUUGAAAAGAGAGUGAAAAAGUACGUGAAAUUGUUGAAAGGGAAGGGUUUGAGAUCAGACUCGAUAUUUUGUGAGCCUUGCCUUCGUGGCGGGGUGACCCGCAGCUUAUCGGGCCAGCAUCGGUUUGGGCGGUAGGAUAAUGGCGUAGGAAUGUGACUUUGCUUCGGUGAAGUGUUAUAGCCUGCGUUGAUGCUGCCUGCCUAGACCGAGGACUGCGAUUUUAUCAAGGAUGCUGGCAUAAUGAUCCCAAACCGCCCGUCUUG